UAAUACAGAGGGUGCAAGCGUUAAUCGGAGUUACUGGGCGUAAAGGGCGCGUAGGCGGAUAGUUGAGUGAGAUGUGAAAUCCCUGGGCUUAACCUAGGAACUGCAUCUUAUACUGGUUAUCUAGAGUACUGUAGAGGGUAGUGGAAUUUCCGGUGUAGCGGUGAAAUGCGUAGAGAUCGGAAGGAACACCAGUGGCGAAGGCGACUACCUGGACAGAUACUGACGCUGAGGCGCGAGAGCGUGGGGAGCAAACAGGAUUAGAUACCCUGGUAGUCCACGCUGUAAACGAUGAAGACUAGAUGUUGGUAGGCAUGACCUAUUAGUAUCGAAGCUAACGCGAUAAGUCUUCCGCCUGGGGAGUACGGUCGCAAGAUUA
This 376-nucleotide ribosomal RNA is filed under the name uncultured bacterium. Its description in RNAcentral is "bacterial SSU rRNA". It matches the Rfam family "Bacterial small subunit ribosomal RNA", at positions 521 to 896 of the family's 1533-position model. The record is from RNAcentral.